GUGCAGCCCAACCCCACGCUGAGCUGUUUCACAGCCGGCCCUGCCCCCUCUCCAAGAUGCUGUUUUGGCACAACCAGCCGGAGCAUCUAUGGCCCAGUCCUGGGGACCUAUACCCUGGGCCCCCCAGCAGCCUGCUCAGGGAGCCCCUGCCCUUGCCCUACUUGAAGCAGGAGGAGCUGCCCAACAUCCCUGGCACGGAGCUGCCCUGCCCCAUGUUCUAGUACGUGCUCUGUGCAGCCACCUCGCCAGCCGUGAAGCAGCAGGAGGAGACCCUCACCUACCUGAACCAGGUCCUAUGAGGUCCGGAUGCUCUGCAGCUCCAAGCCGUGUGAUGCCACCCAGUGCCCCCAGCUGCUGAAGAUGUGCCACUGUCCGUGGGAGUGAUAGAACCCCAAGUGCUGCUCUCACAACUCAACAUGGUGGAGUUUCACUGGGACCCAACAAAGAGGACAUCUCUCUUCCUGCAGUUCACACCUCGGAAGAAAGGUGGAGAGAAAGGCAUCCCUUUCCGCCUCCAGAUCGACACCUUCAGGCCCAGUGACAAGGGGCUGCCGCUAGACCACCUGCACUCAGCUGGCUGCCUCAUCAAGGUGUUUAAGCACAAAGGAGCGGAAACUGAAAAUGGACCGUGAGAAGAUGGAGAAACAGCCCCUGCAUGAGAGGGACAAGUAUCAGACCGCCUGCGAGAGCACUGUCUUCUUGGAGGUGUGUGUGUUGGGGCGAGAGCAGGAGGGGAGAGUUGGAGAAAAGAUCCUCACGGUACAGAUGGGGAAAUGGAGGCCUCCAGGGCUCUGACUGCUGCAAGCCCAUCACAGCCCCCUGGGGACUCCACCACUUCCUGCAAAGGACACUCUCUGCCCUGUCUGUGGUUGUUGAAGCUUCCAGGAGCUGACGCCCUCCAGGCUGCCUGUCCUACGCGGGCCAUCGCCACCUCCUUCCUUGUGUGCUCCCUCUGCCUGGCCCCCUCCUCCUCCUGCUGCUCCUCCUGGCCAGCUCCUCCAAGGCCCUUCCUCACUGCCCCAGGCCCGCCGGGUGGUUAACUUCUUCCUUCCUGUGGAAACCCAGUCCACUUGUCAGGCCCCUGGUCAGCUCUUAAUAUACAGGUGGAGAGAAGGGAGCAAUGACCAGCCUUGCUGUGUGUUUGCCUGCAGUGUUCGCCAUGGCCGGAGUCCCCUGCAAGGCCCCGGCCACCUCUCAGCUCUCUGGCUCUGACCUCUCCCCACUCCUGCAGGCUCUUGUCCCCAGAAAGGUGAGGCAGGAUGAGCACCUCCUGUCAGCCCUUUGGGGUGAGAGUGAAGAAAAGAGCUCCCAGCCCAGGCAUGGAGCAAAGGGCAGGGCUGGGGAUUGGUGGGGAAUUUGUGGGGUGAGGACAGGAGCAAGCUCUGUGUCCCAGGGCAGGCCUGGAGGAAGGGUGUUGGUGGAGGGAGACUGGCUGUAAUGCUCCGCAGAGUUCUUGAACCUUUGCUCCUCCUCAUAGGCUCUGUUCCUCACCACCAUUCGCUCUGGAUACCUUGGGGUGUAGCCCAGUUGAGGUGAGCCUUCCCCUUCCCACUCUCCACUGUCCCAAAGCCUUCUCCGCAGCUUCAUCUCAAGCUCCAGAAUGGAGUGGCCCUGCCCCCUGGUGGCCAGAUGUGAUAUGGCCAUAGAUUGUAACUUACCUGAUAAGACUGGGCAGGAAGAGCCUCCCUUCUCAGACUUGGGACCUCCCAAGGGAGGGGCUGUUUCCCUUUCUUGUUCUGUCCCUGGGUCCUGGUAUUACCUGGACCAUCCAUUUUAUACCUC
This 1782-nucleotide long non-coding RNA is filed under the name Homo sapiens (human). RNAcentral describes it as "non-protein coding lnc-RPL19-6:1". The record is from RNAcentral. Lineage: Eukaryota; Metazoa; Chordata; Mammalia; Primates; Hominidae.